This 468-nucleotide ribosomal RNA is filed under the name uncultured bacterium. RNAcentral describes it as "partial 16S ribosomal RNA". It matches the Rfam family "Bacterial small subunit ribosomal RNA", at positions 28 to 507 of the family's 1533-position model. The record is from RNAcentral.
GACGAACGCUGGCGGCGUGCUUAACACAUGCAAGUCGAACGGAAAGGCCCUGCUUUUGUGGGGUGCUCGAGUGGCGAACGGGUGAGUAACACGUGAGUAACCUGCCCUUGACUUUGGGAUAACUUCAGGAAACUGGGGCUAAUACCGGAUAGGAGCUCCUGCUGCAUGGUGGGGGUUGGAAAGUUUCGGCGGUUGGGGAUGGACUCGCGGCUUAUCAGCUUGUUGGGGGGGUAGUGGCUAAGCAUGGCUUGGCCGGGUAGCCGGGCUGGGAGGGUGAGCGGCCCAGUGGGACUGGGAAUGGGCCACGGCCCCGACCGGGAGGGGAGGGGGGGGUGUGUAAAAUAGGGGGAGGAGCCCUAGCCCGGCCCCGCCCGGCGGGGUGAGCGGGCCUGGGGUUUGGAUUGCACUUCCCCUUGACACGAGGUGAUAAUGACGGUAAUGGGAAAAUAAGCACCGGCUAACUCCGUG